UAGGGAAUCUUCGGCAAUGGACGAAAGUCUGACCGAGCAACGCCGCGUGAGUGAAGAAGGUUUUCGGAUCGUAAAACUCUGUUGGUAGAGAAGAACGUUGGUGAGAGUGGAAAGCUCAUCAAGUGACGGUAACUACCCAGAAAGCCACGGCUAACUACGUGCCAG
This 165-nucleotide ribosomal RNA is filed under the name uncultured bacterium. RNAcentral's name for it is "partial 16S rRNA". It matches the Rfam family "Bacterial small subunit ribosomal RNA", at positions 355 to 511 of the family's 1533-position model. The record is from RNAcentral.